UGGGUAAUCUGCCCUCGAUUCUGGGAUAGCCCGGGGAAACCCGGAUUAAUACCGGAUAGCCUCUCGAGCUUUCGGGCUCGUGAGAAAAGGUAGCUUCGGCCUCCGAUCGAGGAUGAGCCCGCGGCGGAUUAGCUUGUUGGUGAGGUAACGGCUCACCAAGGCAACGACGGGUAGCUGGUCUGAGAGGAUGGCCAGCCACAUUGGGACUGAGACACGGCCCAGACUCCUACGGGAGNAGC
Molecule: ribosomal RNA, 239 nt
Filed under: uncultured bacterium
Lineage: Bacteria
Description: partial 16S ribosomal RNA
Rfam family: Bacterial small subunit ribosomal RNA
Source: RNAcentral